Molecule: transfer RNA, 66 nt
Filed under: Upogebia pusilla (Mediterranean mud shrimp)
Lineage: Eukaryota; Metazoa; Arthropoda; Malacostraca; Decapoda; Upogebiidae
Description: tRNA-Asn
Source: RNAcentral
UUAAUAGAAGCCAAAAAGAGGCUUAUCACUGUUAAUGAUAUCAUUGAAAUAACAUUUCCUAUUAAA